Molecule: RNA transcript, 2142 nt
Organism: Triticum aestivum (bread wheat)
Lineage: Eukaryota; Viridiplantae; Streptophyta; Magnoliopsida; Poales; Poaceae
Gene name: bifunctional 3-dehydroquinate dehydratase/shikimate dehydrogenase, chloroplastic
Exons: 12
Source: RefSeq, a predicted model, not a curated record
GGCCCACUGAAGAAACAGGAGCUUCCACCAGCCGCCAGUUCCAAGGAACGAGGCAUCCAUCAUCCGCGAGCUGAAGCGCACGCUCUCCCUUCUCACCAACCACCGCCACGCCGUGCGGCCCAUCCUCUGACGACGACGGCCAUGGCGGCGGCGAUGUCGGUGUCGGCCGUGGUCCCGCCGGCGGCGGCGGUGGCGCGCGCGCGGACGCUGCUCUGCGUGCCCGCCACGGCGCGCGCGCCGCGGGAGAUGGCGGCGGAGGUGGCCGCCGCCGCCGCGCUCGGCGCCGACCUGGCGGAGCUCCGCCUCGAUCGCCUAGCCGGGUUCGCCCCGCGCCGGGACCUGCCCGCGCUCCUCGCCAAGCCCCGCACGCUCCCCGCCCUCGUCACAUACAGGCCAAAGUGGGAAGGUGGUGAAUAUGAAGGCGAUGAUGAACCGCGGUUCGAGGCACUUCAAUUGGCAAUGGAACUGGGAGCUGAAUACGUUGAUAUUGAGCUUAAGGUUGCUGACAAAUUUAUUAAAUUCAUGUCCGGAAAGAAACCUGAAAACUGUAAGCUCAUUGUUUCAUCCCAUAACUAUGAUAACACCCCUUCGGCAGAAGAGCUUGCAAGCCUGUUGGCUCAGAUUCAAGCAACAGGAGCUGAUAUAGUAAAAAUUGCGACCACUGCUACUGAAAUUGUUGAUGUUUCAAGAAUGUUUCAAAUACUUGUACACUGCCAAGAAAAGCAGGUGCCGAUCAUAGGACUGGUGAUGAACGACAGAGGUUUUAUUUCUCGUGUUCUCUGCCCCAAAUUCGGUGGAUACCUUACUUUUGGCUCUCUUGAAAAAGGAAAAGAAUCUGCACCUUCACAGCCAACCGCUGCAGACUUGAUCAAUGUGUACAACAUUAGACAGAUAGGCCCAGAUACUAAGGUUUUUGGUAUUAUUGGAAAUCCUGUUGGACACAGUAAAAGCCCGAUUUUGCAUAAUGAAGCUUUCAGAUCAGUGGGUUUGAAUGCUGUGUAUGUGCCAUUUUUGGUGGAUGACUUGGCUAAAUUUCUUUCGACCUACUCUUCACCAGACUUUGCUGGCUUCAGUUGUACAAUUCCCCACAAGGAAGCUGCAGUUAGGUGCUGUGAUGAGGUUGAUCCUAUUGCCAGGGACAUUGGAGCUGUUAAUACAAUUAUUAGAAAGCCUGAUGGGAAACUUGUAGGCUACAAUACUGAUUAUGUCGGUGCAAUUUCUGCUAUUGAAGAUGGAAUAAGAGCAACACAACAAACGCAUUCUACCGUGUCACCACUGGCUGGAAGGCUUUUCGUUGUUAUUGGUGCUGGUGGUGCAGGGAAAGCACUUGCUUACGGUGCAAAAGAGAAGGGAGCAAGAGUUGUAAUAGCAAACCGCACUUUCGCACGUGCUCAAGAACUUGGUAACUUAAUCGGUGGGCCUGCUUUGACUCUCACGGAGUUAGAAAACUACCAUCCGGAGGAAGGGAUGAUUCUUGCAAACACAACAGCAAUAGGAAUGCAUCCAAAUGUCAAUGAAACUCCUCUAUCCAAGCAAGCGCUUAAAUCUUAUGCUGUUGUCUUCGAUGCGGUCUACACACCGAAAGAGACAAGACUUCUUAGGGAAGCUGCAGAAUGUGGAGCCACAGUUGUUAGCGGUUUGGAGAUGUUCAUAAGGCAAGCAAUGGGUCAAUUUGAGCAUUUCACGGGCAUGCCAGCUCCAGAUAGCUUGAUGCGUGAUAUUGUUCUGAGAAAGACAUGAUAAGGUUGUUUGAAUUACUAAAAUGUGUUGGAUAUCUGAAUGAGGUGGCGAUACAUUGUCUGGAGAUAAACGGUUGACGAUAAAUUCCGAGCGCUGUCAAAUUCUUUGGACAACCCUAGCGCUGUGAAGGGAGACAGGAGCACAUCACUCAAGCCUCGCUUGUGAUAGACACAUCCAUGUCUGUGGGUUUUCGUACAAGUUUUUGGAUUUGGAAUCAGCAAUCAGCUUGAGUAGAUUGUGAGAUGGCCUCGCUUGAAAUUUUGCAUUGUAUUAGCCCAAAUAUAUUUGUUUGAAGUUGGUGCAUCAGAAAACAGCAAGGAGGCUUUGCUUGCCGGAUAGCAUGAGUUUUGUACUAGAAUACUAGUAAUAAUAAUGAUAAAGUAAUAUACACCUGUGGAAUCA